The sequence is a ribosomal RNA, 2978 nucleotides long. It matches the Rfam family "Bacterial large subunit ribosomal RNA". The record is from Rfam.
GGUCAAGCAAAAAAGAGCAUACGGUGAAUGCCUAGGUGCUGCAGGCCGAAGAAGGACGCGGCAAGCUGCGAAAAGCUACGGGAAGCCGCAAGCAGGCAACGAUCCGUGGAUAUCCGAAUGGGGCAACCCGGCGAGGCAAACCCUCGUCACCUGUAACCGAAUACAUAAGUUACAGGAGGGCACCAGGGGAACUGAAACAUCUUAGUACCCUGAGGAAAAGAAAGCAACAGCGAUUCCCCGAGUAGCGGCGAGCGAAAAGGGACCAGCCAAAACCUAAACUGCUUGCAGAUUAGGGGUAGCGGGACACUCAUCACAAACCAUUGCUUUAGCCGAAGCGGCCUGGAAAGGCCCGUUAUAAAAGGUAACAACCCUGUAGGCGAAAAGGCGAGAAGUUUAGAGUGGAUCCCAAGUACCGCGGGACACGAGGAACCCCGUGGGAAACAGGGAGGACCACCUCCCAAGGCUAAAUACCUGCAGCGACCGAUAGUGAUUAGUACCGUGAGGGAAAGGUGAAAAGCACCCCGGAAGGGGAGUGAAAAAGAACCUGAAACCGUAUGCUUACAAGCCAGUCGAAGCACGUUAAAAGUGUGACGGCGUACUUUUUGUAGAACGGACCGGCGAGUUACAUCUAAUGGGCAAGGUUAAGUCUCAAAAGACGGAGCCGAAGCGAAAGCAAGUCUUAAUAGGGCGUCAAGUCCAUUGGAGUAGACCCGAAACCGGGUGAUCUACCCAUGUUCAGAGUGAAGCUUUAGUAAAAUAAAGUGGAGGCUCGAACCGACCUUCGUUGAAAAGGAGGCGGAUGAAACGUGGGUAGGGGUGAAAUGCCAAUCGAACCCGGAGAUAGCUGGUUCUCCUCGAAAUAGCUUUAGGGCUAGCCUUGAGAAAAAAAUCCGGAGGUAGAGCACUGACUGGGCUAGGGGCCUUCACCGGUUACCGAACUCAAUCAAACUCCGAAUGCCGGAUUAAAGAAUACUCAAGAGUCAGACUAUGGGUGCUAAGGUUCAUAGUCAAAAGGGAAACAGCCCAGACCGUCGGCUAAGGUCCCAAAGACAUGCUAAGUGGAAAAGGAUGUGGGGUUGCACAGACAACCAGGAUGUUGGCUUAGAAGCAGCCACCAUUCAAAGAGUGCGUAAUAGCUCACUGGUCAAGUGGCCCUGCGCCGAAAAUGUAACGGGGCUAAAGCAUGUCACCGAAGCCACGGCAGGAGGACAAAUUCUAAGUAUACUCUGUAGAGUACAGCUAAAAUUUGUCCUCCUGGGUAGAGGAGCGUUCCAUAUGCGGCGAAGUCGUACCGUAAGGAGCGGUGGAGCGUAUGGAAGUGAGAAUGCCGGUAUAAGUAAGCGAAAAGGCAGGUGAGAAUCCUGUCCGCCGAAAACCUAAGGAUUCCUGGGGAAGGCUCGUCCGCCCAGGGUAAGCCGGGACCUAAGCCGAGGCCGAAAGGCGUAGGCGAUGGACAAUAGGUUGAAAAUCCUAUGCCACCAAAAGUCGUUAUCAGGAUGGGGUGACACAGGAGGGUAGGCCAAGCGCGCGGAUGGAAAAGCGCGUCCAAGCUCGUAGGGCGUCAGGCAGGCAAAUCCGUCUGACACAAAGCCUGAGAAGUGAUGGGGAGGGAAAACAAGUACCGAAGUGGUUGAACCCAUACUGUCAAGAAAAACCUCUAACGAGACUCAUUGGUGCCCGUACCGCAAACCGACACAGGUAGGUAGGGUGAGAAUCCUAAGGCGCGCGAGAGAACCCUCGUUAAGGAACUCGGCAAAAUGACCCCGUAACUUAGGGAGAAGGGGUGCCUCACUAGCGUGAAGAUUUAACAUUCGGAGCGUGAAGAGGCCGCAGAGAAAAGGCCCAAGCGACUGUUUACCAAAAACACAGGUUCCUGCUAAAUCGCUAAGAUGAAGUAUAGGAGCUGACGCCUGCCCGGUGCCGGAAGGUUAAGAGGAGAGGUCAGGGGAAACUCGAAGCUUUGAAUUGAAGCCCCGGUAAACGGCGGCCGUAACUAUAACGGUCCUAAGGUAGCGAAAUUCCUUGUCAGGUAAGUUCUGACCCGCACGAAAGGCGUAACGAUUUGGGCACUGUCUCAACGAGGGGCUCGGUGAAAUUGAAUUGCCGGUAAAGAUGCCGGCUAACUGCGAUAGGACAGAAAGACCCCGUGGAGCUUUACUGCAGCUUGAUAUUGGAUUUUGGUAUUGCAUGUACAGGAUAGGUGGGAGGCGGAGAAGCCAGGGCGCCAGCCUUGGCGGAGCCAACGUUGGGAUACCACCCUUGCAGUAUUGAAGUUCUAACAUACGGCCUUGAAUCAGGCCGGUGGACAUUGUCAGGCGGGCAGUUUGACUGGGGCGGUCGCCUCCCAAAAAGUAACGGAGGCGCCCAAAGGUUCCCUCAGCGCGGUUGGAAAUCGCGCUCACAGAGUGCAAAGGCAAAAGGGAGCUUGACUGCGAGACAUACAGGUCGAGCAGGGACGAAAGUCGGGCUUAGUGAUCCGGCGGUAUCGAGUGGAAGAGCCGUCGCUCAACGGAUAAAAGCUACCCCGGGGAUAACAGGCUUAUCUCCCCCAAGAGUUCACAUCGACGGGGAGGUUUGGCACCUCGAUGUCGGCUCAUCGCAUCCUGGGGCUGUAGUAGGUCCCAAGGGUUGGGCUGUUCGCCCAUUAAAGCGGUACGUGAGCUGGGUUCAGAACGUCGUGAGACAGUUCGGUCCCUAUCCAUCGCAGUCGCAGGAAACUUGCAAGGAGCUGUCCCUAGUACGAGAGGACCGGGAUGGACGGAUCACUGGUGUACCGGUUGUCGCGCCAGCGGCAAUGCCGGGUAGUUAUAUCCGGAAGGGAUAAGCGCUGAAAGCAUCUAAGCGCGAAGCCCACCUUAAGAUUAGGUUUCCCUUCGUAAGAAUAAGACCCCUGGAAGACCACCAGGUAGAUAGGCCGGGUGUGUAAGCAUAGUAAUGUGUUUAGCUGACCGGUACUAAUAGGUCGAACGCUUGACCUA